AGAGUUUGAUCAUGGCUCAGAACGAACGCUGGCGGCAUGCUUAACACAUGCAAGCCGAACGCGAGGGGUUUCGGCCCCUUGAGUGGCGCACGGGUGAGUAGCGCGUGGGAACCUGCCCAGUCGUGGGGGAUAACCGCGGGAAACUGCGGCUAAUACCGCAUACGCCGGGAAACCGGGAAAGAUUUAUCGCGAUUGGAGGGGCCCGCGUCGGAUUAGCUUGUUGGUGGGGUAACGGCCUACCAAGGCAGUGAUCCGUAGCUGGUCUGAGAGGAUGAUCAGCCACACUGGGACUGAGACACGGCCCAGACUCCUACGGGAGGCAGCAGUGGGGAAUAUUGGACAAUGGGCGAAAGCCUGAUCCAGCAAUGCCGCGUGAGUGAGGAAGGCCUUAGGGUUGUAAAGCUCUUUCGCGCGCGACGAUGAUGACGGUAGCGCGAGAAGAAGCCCCGGCUAACUUCGUGCCAGCAGCCGCGGUAAUACGAAGGGGGCGAGCGUUGUUCGGAAUUACUGGGCGUAAAGGGCGCGCAGGCGGCUCUUCAAGUCAGGCGUGAAAGCCCCGGGCUCAACCUGGGAAUGGCGCUUGGGACUGGAGGGCUAGAGUUCGGGAGAGGAGCGUGGAAUUCCCAGUGUAGAGGUGAAAUUCGUAGAUAUUGGGAAGAACACCGGUGGCGAAGGCGGCGCUCUGGACCGAGACUGACGCUGAGGCGCGAAAGCGUGGGGAGCAAACAGGAUUAGAUACCCCAGUAGUCC
This 750-nucleotide ribosomal RNA is filed under the name uncultured bacterium. RNAcentral's name for it is "bacterial SSU rRNA". It matches the Rfam family "Bacterial small subunit ribosomal RNA", at positions 8 to 796 of the family's 1533-position model. The record is from RNAcentral.